This 30-nucleotide non-coding RNA is filed under the name Mus musculus (house mouse). The record is from RNAcentral. Lineage: Eukaryota; Metazoa; Chordata; Mammalia; Rodentia; Muridae.
UGUGAAGGAAGAGGCCUAGUGAUGAUGUGU